UAAAAAAAAAAUCUAUAACAAAUAAAUUGUGACGUGUCAAAAUUGUAACAACAAAACUUUCUUAAAAUCUCUCUUUUCUCCAAUCGGAUUCCCUAUAAUCCAGCCACCGCUCUUCCGCUCUCCUCCGCCGUGUUUGCCGCCUCACUGGAGACCCACCAAGCAAGGCGGUUCGUAAUCCAAAAUCCCAACUUCACUUACUACCUGUUUAUUUUCUGUUGAUUAAGCUUAAACCAGAAUCAUGGAGAGUAAGUCACGCGGAAAAGGCGAAAAGAAUCUUGGUUAGCAAAAAUUCAGCAAAAACAUCAAUCGUGGCUUCAAGACCAGCAUCGAGGAGUCAGAGUCGUUAGGAGGACAAAAGUGUGUGACAAGAAGCAUCACUCUUUCUGUUAUAUGAUGUCAAUUUGAUGAUUACAGCAAUCAUGGAGGAUGAAGAGAAAAUCAGGGGAUUUAAAGUUAAAAAAAGGAAAAUUCACCAAAGUUUUUUAAAGAAAAUGAUGCUGUCCAACGAGUUAGUGAGUUGAAGUAAGAGGAAGAUCAUGAUGUUAAUGAAUCAAAGAUGGUUAAAGGGAAGAAGAAUUUGAAAAGAAAAUCGAAAACUAAGUUUGAAGAGUUUCUUGAAAUGAAGAUGCCAAAUUCUGACAUGGUUUCACAAGAGGACUUGGAGUUGGAGAGGAAACUUGCAUAGAAACUCAAAGGUAAAAGGUGGUAAAUUAAGGGGAGAUAAUGAUGGUCGAGGAUGAUAUCACAGAAGACUCUACUAGUGAAGCUUCUGAGCUGAAGGAGCAUCCAGAGACACCAUUGGAAGAAAUUCCGGCCAAGGCACCAUUACCAAAGAGGUGUAGAAAGUGAAAGUCUUUGCCGCAAGGACAAGAAGGUGACAUGGCUGGUGAAACAGCCCUUGGUGUAUCCCAGCCUUCUGAAAGCCAUUAUGCAGAGGUAGCAUUAGUAGAAGCUUCAGCCAAGGCACCUGCAAUGGAGGGCAAUGUAAAAUAUGUAGCUCCUAACUUGAGAUCUCGUGCAAGAAAUGAAUCUAAGGAGCAGACUCAAAUGCGCAGACCUGUUCGAGAUAUGAAUAUUUGGUUUUGAUAAACUUCAACAUUUUCACAUUUCAUUUUCUGAAUUUGACGUGCUGCUUAUUUUUCACCAUGUUCCGGGUCUUCUUAAUACGCUGUCUGAAUCAAACGUACAGGAGAAACGGCCACAAUUGUGUAUGCUGCUAAGCUAUUUAUAGCUCUCUGUUUCAAUAACAAUUCUCUA
Durio zibethinus is the source of this 1257-nucleotide long non-coding RNA. RefSeq lists it as uncharacterized. The record is from RefSeq and is a predicted model, not a curated record. NCBI's taxonomy places the organism in Eukaryota, Viridiplantae, Streptophyta, Magnoliopsida, Malvales, Malvaceae.